Carassius gibelio (silver crucian carp) is the source of this 223-nucleotide long non-coding RNA. RefSeq lists it as uncharacterized. The transcript has 2 exons. The record is from RefSeq and is a predicted model, not a curated record. NCBI's taxonomy places the organism in Eukaryota, Metazoa, Chordata, Actinopteri, Cypriniformes, Cyprinidae.
UUGCUUUGCUCUUUGCUGACAGGAUUGCUCACACUGCAGGAGUACGGUUUAUUCUCCUGUACUUGAGCAGAUGUCAAGAGCAGGUUUGGGUUGUUUUCAUUCUGGAUGAUAUUAUCUUCUUUAUACCAGGAUACAGUCAGAUCUGUACGGUCUCCAAAGUCACAGGUGAGUGUAGUGAUCCCAUCUUCGUUGUUGAUCUUCACAGUAGGUUUAGGAGCGUUUG